AAUUAAAUUCAAUUUUAUGUGUGUCGGUGCUUCCACCUCUUGAACUUCACCAAGUUCAAUUUUAUAGGUAUUAGCUCCUUCUCCAAGGAACUUCUUUUUCAAAAAGAUUAUCCUGCUGCUGACAAACAUCUUUUGCUCUGCAGUGAGGUAGAAGUAGCACCCUUUAGUUUUUUUUAGAUACCCUACGAACAAGUAUCUAUCAGACUUAGAUUCAAGCUUAUCUGUUUUUAAAUGCUUGAUAUAAGCUAGACACUUCCAGACCCUA
RNAcentral lists this long non-coding RNA (265 nucleotides) under Elaeis guineensis (African oil palm). RNAcentral describes it as "long non-coding RNA (EGUI_LNC014541)". The record is from RNAcentral. Lineage: Eukaryota; Viridiplantae; Streptophyta; Magnoliopsida; Arecales; Arecaceae.